AUACUUCUACAAGUUGGUAAGAAUACUCCUCCUCAGGUCCAAAAAGUGGAAUACUCUGGACCAUCACUUAGUUACUACAUCAACGAGUUCAAAACACAAGAAAUUACUCAAGCGCCCACCACAGCUACCGAGACAGAAAUAUCACCACCUGUUCAAGCUGAGAGCACCGAGACGGAAAUAUCACCACCUGUUCAAGCUGAGAGCUCCGAGAACGAUGCAUCAUUAUCUGUUCAAGCUGAGAGCUCCGAGACCAGUGCAACAUUAUCUGUUCAAGCUGAGAGCUCCGAGACUGAUGCAUCAGUAUCUGUUCAAGCUGAGAGCUCCGAGACCGGUGCAACAUUAUCUGUUCCAGCUGAGAGCUCCGAGACCGAUGCAUCAGUAUCUGUUCAACCUGAAAGCCCUCCUGCAGAAGUUUCUCAAGCUCAAGUUGAAUCUGAAAUUCAGCCAGAGACCUCAGGUUUCAAUUGGGAACAAUAUCUUAACUGAUUACUUUGUGUGGUCACUUUUGCUUUAUAAGCAUGGCAAAGUAUUUCAUUUGUGUUGAUAGUAUGAGCUUAUGUAUACAAGGUUAAUGGAU
RNAcentral lists this long non-coding RNA (577 nucleotides) under Trifolium pratense (red clover). RNAcentral describes it as "long non-coding RNA (TPRA_LNC002284)". The record is from RNAcentral. Lineage: Eukaryota; Viridiplantae; Streptophyta; Magnoliopsida; Fabales; Fabaceae.